This 492-nucleotide ribosomal RNA is filed under the name uncultured bacterium. Its description in RNAcentral is "partial 16S ribosomal RNA". It matches the Rfam family "Bacterial small subunit ribosomal RNA", at positions 29 to 507 of the family's 1533-position model. The record is from RNAcentral.
AGUGAACGCUGGCGGUAGGCCUAACACAUGCAAGUCGAACGGCAGCACAGUAAGAGCUCGCUCUUACGGGUGGCGAGUGGCGGACGGGUGAGGAAUACAUCGGAAUCUACUUUUUCGUGGGGGAUAACGUAGGGACACUUACGCUAAUACCGCAUACGACCUACGGGUGAAAGCAGGGGAUCUUCGGACCUCGCGCGAUUGAAUGAGCCGAUGUCGGAUUAGCUAGUUGGCGGGGUAAAGGCCCACCAAGGCGACGAUCCGUAGCUGGUCUGAGAGGAUGAUCAGCCACACUGGAACUGAGACACGGUCCAGACUCCUACGGGAGGCAGCAGUGGGGAAUAUUGGACAAUGGGCGCAAGCCUGAUCCAGCCAUGCCGCGUGGGUGAAGAAGGUCUUCGGGUUGUAAAGCCCUUUUGUUGGGAAGGAAGAGCAGCAGGUUAAUACCCCGCUGUUCUGACGGUACCCAAAGAAUAAGCACCGGCUAACUUCGUG